Molecule: ribosomal RNA, 418 nt
Filed under: Microbacterium sp.
Lineage: Bacteria; Bacillati; Actinomycetota; Actinomycetes; Micrococcales; Microbacteriaceae
Description: bacterial SSU rRNA
Rfam family: Bacterial small subunit ribosomal RNA
Source: RNAcentral
CUGCUGUGAAAACCCGAGGCUCAACCUCGGGCCUGCAGUGGGUACGGGCAGACUAGAGUGCGGUAGGGGAGAUUGGAAUUCCUGGUGUAGCGGUGGAAUGCGCAGAUAUCAGGAGGAACACCGAUGGCGAAGGCAGAUCUYUGGGCCGUAACUGACGCUGAGGAGCGAAAGGGUGGGGAGCAAACAGGCUUAGAUACCCUGGUAGUCCACCCCGUAAACGUUGGGAACUAGUUGUGGGGUCCUUUCCACGGAUUCCGUGACGCAGCUAACGCAUUAAGUUCCCCGCCUGGGGAGUACGGCCGCAAGGCUAAAACUCAAAGGAAUUGACGGGGACCCGCACAAGCGGCGGAGCAUGCGGAUUAAUUCGAUGCAACGCGAAGAACCUUACCAAGGCUUGACAUACACGAGAACGCUGCAG